This 459-nucleotide ribosomal RNA is filed under the name uncultured bacterium. RNAcentral's name for it is "SSU rRNA". It matches the Rfam family "Bacterial small subunit ribosomal RNA", at positions 26 to 518 of the family's 1533-position model. The record is from RNAcentral.
AGAAUCAACGCUGGCGGCGUGCCUAACACAUGCAAGUCGAACGAGAAAGUGGAGCAAUCCAUGAGUAAAGUGGCGACCGGGUGAGUAACACGUGACUAACCUACCUUCGAGUGGGGGAUAACAUCGGGAAACCGAUGCUAAUACCGCAUAACAUCGCAAGAUCAAAGCAGCAAUGCGCUGGAAGAGGGGGUCGCGGCUGAUUAGCUAGUUGGCGGGGUAACGGCCCACCAAGGCGAAGAUCGGUAGCCGGCCUGAGAGGGCGCACGGCCACACUGGAACUGAAACACGGUCCAGACUCCUACGGGAGGCAGCAGUGGGGAAUUUUGCGCAAUGGGGGAAACCCUGACGCAGCAACGCCGCGUGGAGGAUGAAGCCCUUGGGGUGUAAACUCCUUUCGACCAAGACGAUAAUGACGGUACUGGUGGAAGAAGCACCGGCUAACUCUGUGCCAGCAGCCGC